Small nucleolar RNA from Sorex fumeus (smoky shrew), 134 nucleotides. NCBI's taxonomy places the organism in Eukaryota, Metazoa, Chordata, Mammalia, Eulipotyphla, Soricidae. The record is from RefSeq and is a predicted model, not a curated record.
GUGGCCCUGAAUCAAGGCCCACAGCCCCCGCCGCUGCGGGCUUCAAGUAGGAGCCUAGAGAAAGCCUCUCUAGGGGUCUGUUGGCCAUCUUCGCAUCAGCAAUGCGAUGGUCAAUUCAUCAGAAAGGAACGGUG